AGAAAAGUAAGCUAAAUGUUAAGCUAAUGGGUUCAUACCCCAUCCAUAGAGUAUCAACUCUCUUCUCUA
Molecule: transfer RNA, 69 nt
Filed under: Calcaritermes temnocephalus
Lineage: Eukaryota; Metazoa; Arthropoda; Insecta; Blattodea; Kalotermitidae
Description: tRNA-Met
Rfam family: tRNA
About the family: Transfer RNA (tRNA) molecules are approximately 80 nucleotides in length. Their secondary structure includes four short double-helical elements and three loops (D, anti-codon, and T loops).
Source: RNAcentral